Nerophis ophidion (straightnose pipefish) is the source of this 1187-nucleotide long non-coding RNA. RefSeq lists it as uncharacterized. The record is from RefSeq and is a predicted model, not a curated record. NCBI's taxonomy places the organism in Eukaryota, Metazoa, Chordata, Actinopteri, Syngnathiformes, Syngnathidae. The transcript has 5 exons.
GGCGCCAGUAGGUACAAACUCUUCAGUCAUCCGUUUUUUUUACCGCUUGUCCCUUGCGGUGGUGUUGGAGCCUAUCCCAGCUGCACUCGAGCAAAAGUCAACUGUGUAUAUUAUUUUAACAAGACGUAAAAUGGGGAAGAGAGGGUAUCCGGUGUAGAGCUCAGCCAGGAUGCAGCCCAGACUCCACAUGUCAAUGGCCAUGCUGUAGGGGUGACCCAGGAUGACCUCGGGGGAGCGGUAGAAGCGGCUCUGGAUGUAGGUGUACACUACAGGCCAUACACAAGCGCAUCUGCAGGCACCUGAGGAGAGCGUGGGUGAAGCGACGGAUGAGAGCCACACUGAAGCCCUGGAAGUUGUUUUUCUUGAUGAGCUCGUAUAAGUUGACCCUGACGAGAGAAAUGACAAAGUUUUUCUUCUUCACACCCUUAUAGCCACUUCACAUUGGAAUACAGCUUAAUGGAGUUCCCUCUGCUUGGAAAUAAUACGUGACCAGUUGUGAUGAGCUUGUAACUGGAGCCUUCGCACCGUGAAGCAAGAAGGGGCAUUUGAGCACCUGCCCGAAGGAGCCCUUUCCAAUCACCUCCAGCACUUCAAAUCUGUAGGCAAUGUGGUCGUGCAGCACCUGGAACAAAGCGAAGAAAAGAGCCGUGCAAGUUUCUGCUGACCUGGACAAUAAUAUUGAACGGGUAAAAGACCUAAAGUCAACAAUGGAGGAUCAUCCCAACAGGUGUGCAAUUACAAGGGCAGCUUUGACUAAUUGGGAUCCUCUCUGCACGGUCACUUGGUCACAAGGUUAACACACGGAGCAAAAGGUAAGUGUGUACAGCAAAUCAAAAAUAGAAAUGGACUUUUGCAUUGCAUCAUUAUAAAAUUGCCAUCUAUGCAUUGCAAGCGUUUACAUGACUGUUUGUGUGGAAGAAACAUGUUUAGAUCAGCAGGAAUACUCUGGGGAAACUUGUCUUUUAUCCAAAUAUAGACUCACUGGUCACAACAUUAGGUACACAUGCAGCCCUCCUGCCCUUCAUAUGACAUUUCUUCGCAAAUGUUUUCCGAGCCCCUUCCUGCUCUGAUAUUGAUGAGACUAUAAUGGUACAUUUUCCCAUAUGUUGCCUUUGUUCCCGGUGCGGGCUAGAGAAAAUCCGAUCAAAUCCGAGGCAGCAAUAUGAAGAUAUGCCAAUAUAUGUUUA